This 497-nucleotide ribosomal RNA is filed under the name uncultured bacterium. RNAcentral's name for it is "partial 16S ribosomal RNA". It matches the Rfam family "Bacterial small subunit ribosomal RNA", at positions 28 to 507 of the family's 1533-position model. The record is from RNAcentral.
GAUGAACGCUGGCGGUGUGCCUAAUACAUGCAAGUCGAGCGAACAGACGAGGAGCUUUUUCCUCUGCCGUUAGCGGCGGACGGGUGAGUAACACGUGGAUAACCUACUUCUAAUUCUGGGAUAAUUUCGGGAAACCGGUUCUGAUACCAGCUAAUAUAUUGUACGGCAUGGUUCAAUAGUGAUAGACGGCUUUGCUGUUAUUAAUAGAUGGUUCCGCGCCGCAUUAGCUAGUUGGUAAGGUAACGGCUUACCAAGGCAACGAUGCGUAGCCGACCUGAGAGGGUGAUCCGCCACACUGGAACUGAGACACGGUCCAGACUCCUACGGGAGGCAGCAGUGGGGAAUAUUGCGCAAUGGGCGAAAGCCUGACCGAGCAACGCCGCGUGGGUGAUGAAGGUCUUCGGAUCGUAAAACUCUUUUGUUAGGAAAGAACGACAGUGUAUGAAACUCUGGCCGUCUUGACGGUACCUAAUGAGAAAGCCACGGCUAACUACGUG